RNAcentral lists this ribosomal RNA (253 nucleotides) under uncultured bacterium. RNAcentral's name for it is "partial 16S ribosomal RNA". It matches the Rfam family "Bacterial small subunit ribosomal RNA", at positions 524 to 776 of the family's 1533-position model. The record is from RNAcentral.
UACGAAGGGGGCUAGCGUUGCUCGGAAUGACUGGGCGUAAAGGGCGCGUAGGCGGCGGCAAUAGUCAGACGUGAAAUUCCUGGGCUCAACCUGGGGGCUGCGUUUGAUACGUUGUUGCUUGAGUGCGGAAGAGGGUCGUGGAAUUCCCAGUGUAGAGGUGAAAUUCGUAGAUAUUGGGAAGAACACCGGUGGCGAAGGCGGCGACCUGGUCCGUAACUGACGCUGAGGCGCGAAAGCGUGGGGAGCAAACAGG